UCUUCUCUUUUUGUCAUUAAUAUGAGAAGUCAAGUUCUAUGAUGGAAAUCCUGGCGAUGGAGAAGAAAAAGAAACUCCUCCAAAUUCCACCCAAGAAGUGAGAGCAGCCAUGAAGAAAUAUGUAAGACAGACACCAAGGAGAAAACCCA
This is a long non-coding RNA of Telopea speciosissima, 149 nucleotides long. RefSeq lists it as uncharacterized. NCBI's taxonomy places the organism in Eukaryota, Viridiplantae, Streptophyta, Magnoliopsida, Proteales, Proteaceae. The record is from RefSeq and is a predicted model, not a curated record. The transcript has 4 exons.